This is a long non-coding RNA of Myxocyprinus asiaticus (Chinese sucker), 1207 nucleotides long. RefSeq lists it as uncharacterized. The transcript is spliced from 6 exons. The record is from RefSeq and is a predicted model, not a curated record. NCBI's taxonomy places the organism in Eukaryota, Metazoa, Chordata, Actinopteri, Cypriniformes, Catostomidae.
UUCAGUCGAGACGUGGUGUAUCAAAUAAAUGCGGGUGAAGUUCUGUUCAAACUUUAACUUGUCUCCGUUUCUUAUUUUAUUAUAUACAUGUGUUUACGCAAACCUGAUAUGAAUGCUCGGUUACAUUUCCUAUGUCAAAACAAAGUUCUCAUCCCGAAGGAGUAAAAACAACAGAAAAAAGAAAUGCAGACGUGAAAGAAACGAUGUACGUUGUACGUCAUCACGUACAAUUUCAAAUCUUUGUCAAGACUGCCAUGCGUGAGAGAGAGCACCAAACUGAAAGAGGAAACUGGAAGAUGUAAGAUGUUAGUUUAUUUAGUCAUAUUUGAAGAUAUGAAGGAAUAAUUGACUGUAGAAUUACUGAAAAUGAAUGCACAUUCGAGGUGUUCAUCCGGACGUGAAGCGCAGCAACCGUUACACCAGAGAUGCGGGCAUGAUAGAGAUAUGCCGAGUAAAAAUGUUAAACAUUUGUGAAGGCAAAACCGCGAGAAAUGGACGCCGUUGGGAACCUGUAACUACUUCUCAGUUUUGAAUCCUGACUCCACUUCAAAGCUCAAGGAGAACUGGGUGCCUGUGUUUAAGGACAAGAUCCUGCACUUUGCCAACAGAGAGAAGUGGCUCCUCAUCUGCUUUCAAAUGUGGAAACUAUGACAGCAGGAACCAGGAAAGCCUUCAUUGACAUGCAGCCUGUUGGUACCAGUGGCGGAUUUCCUGCACAGUGCAAAAGAUGCAAUUUUUCCAUACACACCGAUGCUUGGAGAAAACUGUCAGUGCUUUAAAGCAUUUGUUGUCAUUCACUGAGAAGCGCUUCAACAAAAUACAUUGCGGGUCACAGUGGACAUUUGCUUCAAAGCAUUCUACGUCUUAAAUAUUAAUUACCCCAAAUAGCAAAUUUAAAUUAAUUUCUACUGGCUGGAAACUUGUUUACCCAAACUGAAAAUACAUUUCUAAAUUUUUAUUUGUUAUUGUAGUCUGCCUGCCUCUCACUCGCUGUGUGGUUGUGGUAAAGUGAUUUUGAUUACCAAGAAUUCGGUUUUAAAUUUUUAACCCAGUUUGCUUAUAAUUUAACCCAGCAAAGGAACUGACGACAACAGUCCAAAAGUUGGGAUAGUCAUUAAGGGGAGCAGAGGUUUAUACUGAUAUACUUAUACUGUUUCAGAUGUAAAAACAAAUGUACCUUUAGGUUUUCUUGCAUAUAUAUAUAUAU